UACAAUAAGUUUAAAAAUAAUAAAUGCUGUGUGUUAAAUAAAUUAUUAGAAAGAACGUAUACUUCAGCUAUUGAUUAUUGUCUAAAAAUUAUCAGAUUAUUUAAUUGAUCUUUCUGUUAAUGGCAAAUUAAUUUUCUAACAAAAAGACCAUCAAAUAGCAUCAUUUCUUCAACAUACAAUCAAGUAGUUACGGUAACAAAAUUUAAAUUAAAGAAAGAAAAAUCGAUUCUCGAUUCUUAGGAUAAAAAAUGGAAUAGUAAAGAUUCGAUUUAAAAAAGCGAUCUUAUAACCACAAGAAUCGAAUCGAACGUCCCUGAAAGUUAUCACACACAAAAUUCCAUAAAGACGUAAGACAUAAAUGUAAGAAAACCCAAUCGAGUAUUGAACUCAUCGUAAUUUUCACUUUAGUCCAUAAAACUUAAAACGUAAAAUCAAAAAAUUCUGUAAGGAUGAAAUUUUUACGAUUUACGUCUUCUAGACAAGCAAUCACAAGUCAUGAGAGCUAAGCGCUUUACUUUGAAAUUUAAUAUCAAAGUAAUUUAGAAAGCUAAGAGAGCUAGAAAGCUAAUGAGUAUUAUAUGUUAAUGAGUGUUAUAUGUUAAGAUAUAUUAUAUUUUAUUUAAUAUUAAGAUAUAUUAUAUGUUAUAUAAUAUAUAUAUAAUAUAUAUAUAUUAUAUAUAUAGAUAUAUUAUAUGUUCACGGUAUUUGUUUUAGAAAUAUCAGUAAAUAUAAUGUAAUAUGUUCAAUAACUUUGAAAAUAAACUUUAAUUAAGAAAAAAAACCUUAAUUUAAUAUAAUACAUUUUGCGGCAUGAAAUACUUUUGUUAAUAUUUAGAAAGUGUGUGUGGCUACCCUGGCAUGUAGCAUAGGCUGAUUACUUUUAAUUAAACAUAUUGACAAGUGUUCGUUGAAAAUUAUGAAAUUUUCUGAAUUUUACUAUAAUGUAAAUUUUAAUAUAACAAAACAAAGAGCAACCAAUGUAUUAGUGUCUUUCGAGAACGAUAAAGGUUAAUAAAUCAUCGAAAAAACUUCCAAAAAGUAAAUUGAAAAGAAAAAAACAUUGGAAGCAUGCGUUGAGCAAUAUAACCUUCCAGUUAUAUCAAAUAUUUGUGGAUCAAGUACAUAUAAUCUAGUUGUAUUAUUCACUAGCAUGGAUGAUUCACAAGAUUCGGAGGUAUAAGUAAGGAUUUAUUUACUGGCUUGGAUCAACCAAAUAAAUAUAAUUUUUUUAUAAAGAUGGGUAAAUUGUGCUAUCUGUCUAAUAGAAAAGCAUCAAAAACUGAAAAUAUUUCAUUACACAGGUAAAAGAGUUCAUAUGAAAUAUUUAUAUUAUUUUAUAAAUUUCUUAUAAUAAAUAACCGAAAAUAAUGUAUAAUCAAUUUUGGUUUUCCACAAGAUUUGACUUAUAUCAAAUGUGGUUAAAUGUUCAUGAAUUUAUCUUAAACGAUGAUGUAUCAUCUAUUUAUAUCUAUUCUAUCCAUUUUAUUGAAAUGGAUAUUAAUAGAUAUAAUACUUUUGGAAAAAAUUAAUCUGUAAUUAAACCUGGAAUAGUUCCUUCAAUGUUUAUAGCAAAUUAUUUUAUUAUAAAAGAAGAAGUUGAUGAUUUGUCAUCAAAAAAACUUGCAAAUGUGAUUAUAAAUGAUAAUUUUGGUGGAUAUGAAUAUAUUUUGUUGAAUAAUGAAAAUAAAGUUGAAGAGAAAAUCCAAGAGUAUAGAGUACAAAAGAAUGCGAUGGAAACUAAACAUUCUUCAAAAAAUUAAAAGUAGCAGCAAAAAGAUUUUGAAAGCUGCUAUCAUUCAACAAAAUGAUUCAACAACAUAUAAAUCUCCAACUAGUAUUUUAUUGAGUUGAGAUGUGUGUGUAGUAAAUUGUAAAUUAUUAUUUUAACCCGACAAAAUUUGGAAUUGUUUAGAAUUAUCAAGAUUUAUAUAUAAUAAUUAGAGCGUUCAUUAAGUCGACAUGUGUGAACAUAAUUCGUUUCUAUCUUAUAGUCAUGAACAUUGUCAUAGUAAUGCUCAUAAAGAGUUUAUUUUCAUAAACUCCUGUGGCUUUCAUAGAGAAUAAAGGUAGAGGAAGAAAGGUAUAAUAAAUAGAAGUACAAUUUACUAAAAUACAUUCUAAUUUGUUCCAUAAAAGUCACAGGUUCUAUUGAGAGAAAUUUUUAUAAAUCGAAAGAUCUAGUUUAAAAAAAAAAAAAAAACAUUUUUUAUUGAAUCGUAAUGUUCUAUGCAUUCGUUAACUUUUCACAUGUAUUCGCUAAUGAGAUAUUUCAUUAAAAUUCAUGGUUCAUUAUUAUGCACAUUGGACUUCUUAAAGAAACUUUUUAUGUGUACUAAUCAUAAUAGCAAGAUAAAAAAAAAACGAAUUAUUAAUUUUAACACAUAUUAUUGAUUCUACUAAAAUAAUUUUAAUUUUUUUAAACAUAAUUUAACAUUAUAUAUGAAUUUAUAUAUUCUGUUAUGUAAGUAUAAUGUACGAUUUAUAUUUGAUAUAACUUGCUAUUUUUAUAAUAAAUCUAGGAACUAUAAAACAAAUAUAUACGCAUGUGAUGAUGUGUUUAUGAUAAAUUAUAAAAUAAGAAAAAACAAAUUUACUUCUUUUUCUCUCAAUUUUUCUAAUAGCAACAACAAUACAGUUAUAUGCAACAAUGUAUAACAGUUUUUCAAUCGUUUGAUAAUGAUGUAACGUAUAUUAAAAUCUGUAUUUCAUAGAAAUUAUGAAUACUAGAAUGCCCAUUAUUUUACAAUAAUGUUAAAAACAACAUAAAAGCUGUUCAGUAAGACUAGAUUGGUUUAAUGCAUGAUGCUAUUUUAGCAAUAUAUACUACAGUUUAUAUGAUUGUGAAGUCCAACUUCUUCUUUUUACCUAUUAAUGAUGCACUACAUAUAGCUACAUAACUUGCAUAAUUUCAUAUCGAUAAAGCUUGUACUUAAUGAUACCUGAAUUAAUUUUAUACAUAAUUAUAACAACUCUGAUUAUUGAAAGAUUGAUGAGCAUUUGGCAUAUAAUGAGCGUAAAUUAAAUCUAUAAUUAAAAAACUGCAAUUCAGUAA
Long non-coding RNA from Vespa crabro (European hornet), 3052 nucleotides. RefSeq lists it as uncharacterized. The transcript has 2 exons. The record is from RefSeq and is a predicted model, not a curated record. Lineage: Eukaryota; Metazoa; Arthropoda; Insecta; Hymenoptera; Vespidae.